RNAcentral lists this transfer RNA (67 nucleotides) under Amphiura sp. JN-2020. RNAcentral's name for it is "tRNA-Ser". Lineage: Eukaryota; Metazoa; Echinodermata; Ophiuroidea; Amphilepidida; Amphiuridae. The record is from RNAcentral.
GAAGACAAAAGACUAUUCUUGUCCCGCUAAGUCAAAGAAUCUGCAGUUAAACUCUGUAGUGUCUUCG